UGGAGCCCGCACCCGACAGACUCAGAGGGGACUGCUGGGGGAGAUGGCGCUGUCAGUCACGCGUCCUGGUGCCAGCCUCUCCAUGGAAACGGGAGGAGAGAAGGGCAAACACAGAUGGGAGCACCUGCUAAGAAAAGGGUUUGCAAAUGCCACAGAGGGAAAGCAGAGUAAAAAACUGCAGCUGCAAUGACGGACCUGCGUGCCGUGCACAAAAGGCUGGAGAGAAACUUCAGGAAGCCCUUCUUCACCACUGUUCUCAUCCUUCCACCUGUGGAAUGGCUUUGCUUCCCCAGAAGAACCGGGAACAAUCUUUUUUUAAUAUCUCCUAUGGGCCAAAACAUAAGCACUUAACACAAGUUUAUGUAUAUUUGGCCACAAUAGACCGCAUAUAAAAUUUUGGACAUCCAUUUAUCGAUAAAGCUCAUUCUAAAGCCAUAACGUUGAUAAUGAACACAUGGCAGAGUUCUUCAACAUGGCAUGUUAAUUUUCGACAUACACAUUGCAUGUAAUUUUCUUUUUCAAUUUUUUUUCUUUUUGACAGGAGGAGGACAAUCAUAAGUUGAAUUCAAAUAAAAAUAACACAGAAACA
Long non-coding RNA from Callithrix jacchus (white-tufted-ear marmoset), 589 nucleotides. RefSeq lists it as uncharacterized. The record is from RefSeq and is a predicted model, not a curated record. NCBI's taxonomy places the organism in Eukaryota, Metazoa, Chordata, Mammalia, Primates, Cebidae.